UUAGGGCCCGAGCCAGCUGCAGAGCAGCCGGGCGUAGGCCCUAUUAUUCCCCAAGUGGUUUUUCUUUGUUUCUUUCUUUCUUUUUUCUUUUUCCUCCCCUUUGAACUGGAAAAUGGCCCACUUCCCACUGGCGAAAACUCAUGAAAUUUGGCAGGACGACCGGGCCUGGUGAAAAAUUCGAUAUUCUGAAGUCGCCCAAACAAUAAAAUGCAAAAUGGCUCCAUAGCGCCCCCUAAGGUGGAAAUUCACACUAUUGACUGUCACGCCUGUACGCUUUGUCAUAUUGACACAAAAAUUGACACACAUAUGUAUCUCAAUAAGAUCUACAAAAAAGUCAGUGCGGCCGUAUCUGUCAAAAUUACGGUUAAAGGGUUAUUUCGCAUUUUUUGCCGAUCUGCACACAUUGGAAUUUCGCUAACUCCUCCGAAGGCUUUCGUUCCACCGGCACCACAUUUGCUCAGGCCAAUCUACACCCCGUGGCCAUUAAAAGUUAUCAAAAUCAUGACGCUGCACCCCAAGGUUUAGGUUCUAGGGGGCGCCAAAGAUAACACUAAAAUCCACAUAUUUAAAAGUCUUAUAACUUUUUAUUUUUGUCCUCACUGGCCUCCAAGUUUUCUAGGAUGAUGCAAUGUCCAGCCAUCAACACAUUUGUGAAGGAAUUUUUACUCCCCAAAAGAGCGCCCCCCCAUGGCAGGAGAAAAAAGUCCAUUUUUUCUUGUCCCCUAAGGUGAAAAUACACAUUGUUGAGUGUCACGCCUAUACGCUUUGUCAAAAUGACACAAAAAUUGACACACACAUGUAACUCAAUAAGAUCUACGAAAAAGUCAAUGCGCGCGUAUCUGUCAAAUGUACGGUUAAAGGGUUAUUUCGCAUUUUUUGCCGAUCCGCACACAUUGGAAUUUCGCUAACUCCUCCGAAGGCUUUCGUUCCACCGGCACCACAUUUGCUCAGGCCAAUCUACACCCCGUGGCCAUUAAAAGUUAUCAAAAUCAUGACGCUGCACCCCACGGUUUAGGUUCUAGGGGGCGCCAAAGAUAACCCUAAAAUCCACAUAUUUAAAAGUCUUAUAACUUUUUAUUUUUGUCCUCACUGGCCUCCAAGUUUUCUAGGAUGAUGCAAUGUCCAGCCAUCAACACAUUUGUGAAGGAAUUUUUACUCCCCAAAAGAGCGCCCCCCAUGGCAGGAGAAAAAAGUCCAUUUUUUCUUGUCCCCUAAGGUGAAAAUACAUAUUGUUGAGAUUCACGCCUAUACGCUUUGUCAUAUUGACACAAAAUUUGACAAUCACAUGUAUCUCAAUCAGAUCUACGAAAAAGUCUAUGCGCGCGUAUCUGUAAAAUGUACGGUUAAAGGGCUAUUUUGCAUUUUUUGCCGAUUCGCACACAUUGGAAUGUGGCUAACUCCUCCUAAGGCUUUCGUCCCACUGACACCAAAUUUGCUCAGGCCAAUCUACACCCCAUGGCCAUUCAAAGUUGUAAAAAUCAUGACGCUGCACCCCACGGUUUACGUUCUAGGGGGCGCCAAAGAUGACCCAAAUAUCCACAUUCUUAAAAGAAUCCACAUCCCCCCCAUCCCCCAUCCCCCAUGGCAGGAGAAACAGUCAAGUUUUUCCUGCCCAUCACUCAAUGGCUCAUUCGCAUCACUCUCCCGGCAACACCGUAACGAGGAGCAACUUGCCGUUUGGAUAUAUCCUAGCUGUGUUUGUGCCCUCACUCAUGGUCCAGACUUUUUUCAAAUAGGACAUGUAGUUUGUCUGCAGCGAGUGUUUUGGUAGAAACUGCGCCUCCCAUUCAUUAUAAUGGGAAAUGACCACAGACAAGUGCGCACACCAUCUUUGGACCUUGAGUGUGACGCGAUCGGGAGGGGUAGGCGGUCGCGCUGGGGGCGGCGCAACGCGGCUCGGGCCCGACAGUGCCCCACCGGGGUCCUAGUUAGGGCCCGAGCGUAGCUGCUAAGCAGCUGCGAGAGCCCUAUUAUUCCCCAAGGGGUUUUUCUUUGUUUCUUUUUUCUUUUUCCUCCCCUUUGAACUGGAAAAUGGCCCACUUCCCACUGGCGAAAACUCAUGAAAUUUGGCAGGACGACCGGGCCUGGUGAAAAAUUUGAUAUUCCGAAGUCGCCCAAACAAGAAAAUGCAAAAUGGCUCCAUAGCGCCCCCUAAGGUGAAAAUUCACACUAUUGAGUGUCACGCCUGUACGCUUUGUCAAAAUGACACAAAAUUUGACACACACAUGUAUCUCAAUAAGAUCUACAAAAAAGUCAGUGCGGGCGUAUCUGUCAAAUGUACGGUUAAAGGGUUAUUUCGCAUUUUUUGCCGAUCCGCACACAUUGGAAUUUCGCUAACUCCUUUGAAGGCUUUCGUUCCACCGGCACCACAUUUGCUCAGGCCAAUCUACACCCCAUGGCCAUUAAAAGUUAUUCAAAUCAUGACGCUGCACCCCACGGUUUAGGUUCUAGGGGGCGCCAAAGAUAACCCUAAAAUCCACAUAUUUAAAAGUCUUAUAACUUUUUAUUUUUGCCCUCACUGGCCUCCAAGUUUUCUAGGAUGAUGCAAUGUCCAGCCAUCAACA
Xyrichtys novacula (pearly razorfish) is the source of this 2564-nucleotide non-coding RNA. NCBI's taxonomy places the organism in Eukaryota, Metazoa, Chordata, Actinopteri, Labriformes, Labridae. The record is from the annotation of a GenBank genome assembly.